AUUCCGUGAUGAGGGCACUUCCAUAAUAAUUAUUUGUACCUUUCCCAUGCCUUACAAGGACUCAUCAUCCAUUUGUUGGAAAGCAGUGACCUCAUUCCUCAACUU
Non-coding RNA from Gossypium hirsutum (cotton), 105 nucleotides. The record is from Rfam. Lineage: Eukaryota; Viridiplantae; Streptophyta; Magnoliopsida; Malvales; Malvaceae.